RNAcentral lists this ribosomal RNA (31 nucleotides) under vouchered mycorrhizae (Basidiomycota). RNAcentral's name for it is "partial 28S ribosomal RNA". The record is from RNAcentral. Lineage: Eukaryota; Fungi; Basidiomycota.
UUGACCUCGAAUCAGGUGGGACUACCCGCUG